This is a long non-coding RNA of Balaenoptera ricei (Rice's whale), 283 nucleotides long. RefSeq lists it as uncharacterized. The transcript has 3 exons. NCBI's taxonomy places the organism in Eukaryota, Metazoa, Chordata, Mammalia, Artiodactyla, Balaenopteridae. The record is from RefSeq and is a predicted model, not a curated record.
GUUCUCCAAUGUCCGAAUUCCAAAUGUGACGACCUGCUCUACUGGCAAGACCUCUGAGAGAAAAUAGAAUAACAAGCCACAGUCCUGGUUGAAAGUGAAGAUCAAGCCAUCUGUAAACUCCGUUCUCCCGUUCAAGGAAGACCCCCAAGGAGAGGUUCUUCUUUGUUGAAAUAAUUUAAACAGGCUGGAUGAUAUGGACGGACAACGCCAGAAGGCCGGGGGCCAAGUAUGACGGAUUUGACGGGUUCCUUGGGAAACCUAGUCUGAUGAUCACAGAACCUGG